CACUUGCUGUUAAUUCUCUUGCAGAGAAUCUGGGUUUGAUUCCCAGCAUCCAUAAGACAGUUUAUAGCCAGCUGUAACUCCAGUAACAGGGACACAAUGCUCUCUUCUGGUCAUUGUAAUAUAUAAACAUACAGGCAAAGGCAUUCAUACACAUAAAAUGAAAAUAACCCCAGACUCUUUAACACAGUUUGUUAUUUUGGCCUUAAAAUGUCAGCACACUUUAUCUCCUCUUAGGUAACUGCUUUCGUAGAGACCACUCAUCAACACAGGACUUAGAUUAGCAAAUGCCCGCCAAAUCACCAGAGCUGCUAUUGAGGACAGUGUAAAUACACUAUCACAGGAAAAGCUAUCAGGUCAUCUUUACUAACGCACAGCAUUCUCUGGUAAGAAUUUGACACCCACUAGUCAGAAAAGACAACAACAGGGUGAAAUGUUCCCCAACAACCUGCUGUCCUUCAGCCUUGGGUCUCUAUGCUUGGAAAGGUCAUCUCUGAGAUAAGAGUGUGCACAGAGAGCACCAGGGGUUUUUGUUGGUGAUUGUUUAAGAGUGUAAGCAGAAGAACCUUUAAGACUGGAGAUGAAAGGCCUGGCAUGGCAGUGUUUUAGUGAUGGACUGGGUGUUAGGCUGACAGUCCUGGUCAACAUUCUGUAAUUUGUUGCCACUUCAAGAGAAUCUAGUGCGUUCCUAUCUUGAAACCCCUUCCACUAAUGGAGAUUAUUGCUCACUUUUCCAUAGUAGAUCUAUAUUUGAUGUACUAAAAUGAUGAAAAGGAAAGCAAGGUAUAUCUAAUAACUAGACAGGGUAAGUUCACAAGUGGUGGUGGACUCAUCCUUUUUCUCUUUACCAUUCAGUAGAGACUCAAAUUCAAUGAAGACUAAUCACAAGUAGUAGAGGUAUAAUUAUACAUCUGCCUCAGUUCAGUUUCAGAGCCCAGAGUUUCUUUUGACAGGGUCAGGAGACUAGCAAAUCAUAGAUCGGAGACGGGGCUCUCUAUAUUCCCUAUCAUUGGUAAAUUAAUAAAGCUGGCUGGUAGCAGAACACAUGCAAAUGAUAGUACAGCAGCGAUCUGAUCAGAGCAAGGACAUCAGCCCAAAGGAAAGCAAGAGUCUGCCAUCCAGCAUUAUGAAUGCAUUGCCAACAACGUUGGAGACCACAUAUAGAACAGCUAGGGUACACUGGUGGAAGCAAGAGACUCAGGUUGCAAUGUUGGGUUUGAGUUCCAUUCCUAUUACUACUUGUGUGGCCUUUAUCAGUUAUUAAAUCUCUCUGACUCAAUUUCCUUCCUCACUUAUAAAAUGAAGCUAAUUACAUGUAGUGUUGUGCACAAUAAUAGCUAUUUAAUCUUUUUCAAGAAUUACUAUUUAUUUUUUUAAAGACAGAUAAGUUUAUCAUAGUUGCAUCUAUAUGCUACAUAAUUGCACUGAGACCCUUGAGAUCCCAUCAUGUUCUGGCAGGUUAAAAAGCAGCUAAGACGAAGCAAGUAUAAAUUGGCCUGUCCGAUGGAUUACUAGUAAUCCACAAAACAGCAAGGAAGAGGUAGUGUCACAUCUGUUCUUAGGUAUAAUGUCAUGUAGCUUAGCUAUUCAGGUUACUAAGAAGAAUAGGAAGAUAGCCUUAAGAAUGAUACAUUUAGGACAGAUAAUACCAUUAAUUUGAAUGACUCAGGAGAUUCCCAAAAGAUAAGCUACAUAAAGUGAGAUAAUUUAACAAGAACAUGUGAAGAAUAAUUGAUCAAACAGGACUUAGAGAUAAGACUCAGGAAGAACAUGCUUUUCAAAUAUUUGAAGAUAAAAAAAGUAGGCCAAACAGGCUUUAAAACAAGAUAGAAAUCAACAAAAUACUAUAUAAAAUUAAUUUUGUCUCAGCUCUCCAUGAAGAUGAAUGGCUUUAGAAAAUACCCAAGUUCUUGCUUCCUAAGAAGGAACUAUUUGUGAAUUUGCAUAGAAUCAAAAUGUUCUAUAAAACCCAUCAAACUCAAAUAUUAUAAAAAAGGCAACAUUAGAGAUAGCAUUGUUAAUGCAUGUUUUAUUUGGAGUUCAUGGAAAAAAAAUCCUACUUACCCAUAUCAGAGUCACCUCCACCAGAAGAGUUCAACUUACGAAAAAUUUCCUGUUUCUUUGAUUUAACCAUGGGUGAUGUGCUUUCAAGCUUGGUGAAGAAUGAAGGCAAGUAGCUUAUACUUCCUGGUGAUCGAGAAUCACUCCUGUCAGGAAUAGAAUUCAAUCUAUUAUAACCAUGUACCCUAGGAACACUCCUUUAAAUAACAGGUACAAAAUACUCAGAAAACUACUGCCUUCCAUUCUGUGUUGGUUACAAACCGUACAAAGCAUAUGUGACCAUGAACUCAUAAAGAUGAUCCACAGGACUGCCUGCCUGCCUGCCUGUCUGUCUGUCUAUCUAUCUAAUGAUUUUUAGCUCUGAGAAGUGAAAUGGUAAAAUUGGGAUUAAAAGGAAGAUG
Molecule: long non-coding RNA, 2459 nt
Filed under: Mus musculus (house mouse)
Lineage: Eukaryota; Metazoa; Chordata; Mammalia; Rodentia; Muridae
Description: long non-coding RNA chr11:62323425-62325884
Source: RNAcentral